RNAcentral lists this ribosomal RNA (254 nucleotides) under uncultured bacterium. Its description in RNAcentral is "partial 16S ribosomal RNA". It matches the Rfam family "Bacterial small subunit ribosomal RNA", at positions 524 to 776 of the family's 1533-position model. The record is from RNAcentral.
CACGUAGGGGGCGAGCGUUGUCCGGAUUUAUUGGGCGUAAAGAGCUCGUAGGCGGCUCGGUAAGUGAGGUGUGAAAACUCCAGGCUCAACCUGGAGACGCCACCUCAUACUGCUGUGGCUAGAGUCCGGUAGGGGAGCAUGGAAUUCCUGGUGUAGCGGUGAAAUGCGCAGAUAUCAGGAGGAACACCAGUGGCGAAGGCGGUGCUCUGGGCCGGAACUGACGCUGAGGAGCGAAAGCUAGGGGAGCAAACGGG